UUUACAAAUUCCCCGGAGGGAAAGUUGCAAAGAACUUUGAAGAGAGAGUUCAAUAGGGCGUGAAACCGCUUAGAAUGAAACUGGUGGAACUGAAAAGUGGAUGGCAAGAUUCAGUCAAUGGAGGGCGACGCUUUGCCUUUAAUUGAUGCACUUCUUGUCAUCCCGCGCUGCGACCGGUCAGUGGACUGGCAACGAGCAGUGAAUUGAAGACGUGCGCUUCGGUGUACGAGCCUCAUUCAUGGCUUACGCCUGGUUCCGCUGACUGUGAACCGUUCGUGCCCGCUUGUCUCGCUUGCAUGCUUGCUUGCUUGAGUCGACUUCUGGGUCCUGCUUGCAGAGCCUAGAGACCGCUUGAGCUUGUUAGGUGUGUUUAGUGAGUGGCAUCGAUGGUCAGCAGCGUUUGUGUCAGUCACCCACCUGACCCGUCUUGAAACACGGACCAAGGAGUCUAACUUGUGCGCAAGUCAUUGAGUGGUAAACUCAUUGGCGUAAUGAAAGUAAUGAACAGCUCGGUUGUUCAAUAGUAGGAUCCGUUUGUCUCUUGGCAAGCGGCGCACUACUGUCCCGUCUGUAGAACUCGCUUCUUAGGCGGAGACUGAGCGUACACGUUGGUACCCGAAAGAUGGUGAACUAUGCCUGAGCAGGAUGAAGUCAGAAGAAAUUCUGAUGGAAGUCUGAAGCAGUUCUGACGUGCAAAUCGAUUGUCAGACUUGGGUAUAGGGGCGAAAGACUAAUCGAACCAUCUAGUAGUUUUCUCCUCUUCAGAAA
RNAcentral lists this ribosomal RNA (768 nucleotides) under Anoplostoma heterurum. RNAcentral describes it as "partial large subunit ribosomal RNA". It matches the Rfam family "Eukaryotic large subunit ribosomal RNA", at positions 341 to 966 of the family's 3401-position model. The record is from RNAcentral. Lineage: Eukaryota; Metazoa; Nematoda; Enoplea; Enoplida; Anoplostomatidae.